AGAGGAAGAAAUGGAGGCAGAAGAUAUUUAAUCCAAAGACAGUCAAGAAAAAGAAAUCUCAAAUAAAAGUUAUUAAAGAUCAUGGUAAAAUUAGGAAACUUCCAUCAGGAGCAGUGAAAGUCUCUUUUCAAAAGGUUGGCCGGUGAAUUGAACAGUGUGCCAAAGGAAAGUUCUGGAAGCAGGAAAUCUCCUUCAACCUUUGCCUGGCGCAAAUAGAACAGUGUGUCAAUUCCUGUUUAAAAUCCAUGUAGAUCUCAAUACAAUAGAGAUACAUCUCAGUACAAUAGAGAUACAACUCAUAAUUUCACUUUAAAGACCCAACUAAAUUCAGGAAAAAUGAUUUGAGCCCUUAAUUUUAGAAAAGAAAUAAUUGCCAUCAAGUUCUUUUUCAUACUACAAAGGAUUGUCUUUUGGCAACAGUUAAAUGUUUAGCUCAAUCUGAGCAGGGGUUUGCAAACUCUUAAUAUUUAUAUUUUAGUGAAGUAAGUUGAUUUUAUCUUAUAAUUUUAUAAAUAGGGUGUAAUUUUAAGGUUAUAUCGAACCCUGUGUUAUUUGUAACAAACUUGUACCUUCACUUAAAUGUAUCAAUAUAUGUUAAUUUUUAACAUUGUUGCAAUAUACAACUUUAUUUACAAUGUAAGAUUUUAGCCCAUCUCUU
Molecule: long non-coding RNA, 658 nt
Organism: Saccostrea echinata
Lineage: Eukaryota; Metazoa; Mollusca; Bivalvia; Ostreida; Ostreidae
Exons: 4
Source: RefSeq, a predicted model, not a curated record